Non-coding RNA from Ilex paraguariensis (yerba mate), 115 nucleotides. The record is from the annotation of a GenBank genome assembly. NCBI's taxonomy places the organism in Eukaryota, Viridiplantae, Streptophyta, Magnoliopsida, Aquifoliales, Aquifoliaceae.
GCAAUCAUACUACCACUAAUGCACCGGAUCCCAUCAGAACUCCGCAAUUAAGCAUGCUUGGGCAAGGGUAGUACUAAGAUGGGUGACCCCGUGAGAAUUCCUUAUGUUGCACCCU